UCAUCAACUUAAGUAUUGAAUAAUAAAAUUAUAUCGUCAUCUUCGUUGUAAAUCUGAAACUUUCAGACUAUGCGUCUCCCUCUCCAUCCCUCCCGGAUCCCGUCUAUCAUUUCCACUGAUAAUCCUUCCCUUUUAUUUCCGGCAAAGGCCGAAGGAUUGUGGCGGAGAUCUGCUGCUCAGGUCAAGGUGGAUCUCCGUGGGGUCGAAGGUGAGUUGCGCGGGAUCUCAAAACUCCAUGAAUGGAGUUUCUGGCACUGCUCUUCGGACGACGGUUCUUGAUGGCCUUAGCGUAGGAUCACGUCCAGACAUGGCCUUAGCGUAGGAUCACGUCCAGACAUGGCUGUCUUAGCACCCGCAGCUUGGGAUGCUUUGGAAUACUGGGUUGACCACGGCUACUUUUGAGUUCUUUUAGCAUCUCCUCUUUGAUCGGAUCCUUAUGGAGUGUAAGGUUCAAUCUAGCAAUAUAUCUUUUUCAUCAAAAUGUUUUUGUUGUUAGUCGUCUUCCGUAGAGUUGAUUCAACAUUUAUUUACUGUUUGUGAUUA
Long non-coding RNA from Salvia splendens (bonfire salvia), 543 nucleotides. RefSeq lists it as uncharacterized. The transcript has 2 exons. Lineage: Eukaryota; Viridiplantae; Streptophyta; Magnoliopsida; Lamiales; Lamiaceae. The record is from RefSeq and is a predicted model, not a curated record.